This 81-nucleotide transfer RNA is filed under the name Ipomoea nil (Japanese morning glory). It matches the Rfam family "tRNA". From Rfam's summary of the family: Transfer RNA (tRNA) molecules are approximately 80 nucleotides in length. Their secondary structure includes four short double-helical elements and three loops (D, anti-codon, and T loops). Lineage: Eukaryota; Viridiplantae; Streptophyta; Magnoliopsida; Solanales; Convolvulaceae. The record is from Rfam by way of RNAcentral.
GAUGGUUUGGCCGAUGGUCUAAGGCGCCUAGAUUUAGGCUCUGGUUCCGAAAGGGCGUGGGUUCAAAUCCCACAGCCGUCA